RNAcentral lists this ribosomal RNA (252 nucleotides) under Fusobacterium mortiferum. RNAcentral describes it as "partial 16S ribosomal RNA". It matches the Rfam family "Bacterial small subunit ribosomal RNA", at positions 524 to 776 of the family's 1533-position model. The record is from RNAcentral. Lineage: Bacteria; Fusobacteriati; Fusobacteriota; Fusobacteriia; Fusobacteriales; Fusobacteriaceae.
UACGUAUGUCGCAAGCGUUAUCCGGAUUUAUUGGGCGUAAAGCGCGUCUAGGUGGUUUGGUAAGUCUGAUGUGAAAAUGCGGGGCUCAACUCCGUAUUGCGUUGGAAACUGCUAAACUAGAGUACUGGAGAGGUGGGCGGAACUACAAGUGUAGAGGUGAAAUUCGUAGAUAUUUGUAGGAAUGCCGAUGGGGAAGCCAGCCCACUGGACAGAUACUGACGCUAAAGCGCGAAAGCGUGGGUAGCAAACAGG